Molecule: ribosomal RNA, 447 nt
Filed under: uncultured bacterium
Lineage: Bacteria
Description: bacterial SSU rRNA
Rfam family: Bacterial small subunit ribosomal RNA
Source: RNAcentral
UCGCCAGACUCCUACGGGAGGCAGCAGUGGGGAAUAUUGCACAAUGGGGGGAACCCUGAUGCAGCAAUGCCGCGUGGGUGAAGAAGCACUCCGGUGCGUAAAGCCCUGUCAGCAGGGAAGAAAAUGACAGUACCUGGACAAGAAGCCCCGGCUAACUACGUGCCAGCAGCCGCGGUAAUACGUAGGGGGCAAGCGUUAUCCGGAUUUACUGGGUGUAAAGGGAGUGUAGGUGGCAUAACAAGUCAGAAGUGAAAGCCCGGGGCUCAACCGCGGGACUGCUUUUGAAACUGUUAAGCUUGAGUGCAGGAGAGGUAAGCGGAAUUCCUAGUGUAGCGGUGAAAUGCGUAGAUAUUAGGAGGAACACCAGUGGCGAAGGCGGCUUACUGGACUGUAACUGACACUGAGGCUCGAAAGCGUGGGGAGCAAACAGGAUUAGAUACCCUAGUA